Molecule: unclassified non-coding RNA, 331 nt
Filed under: soil metagenome
Description: partial contains 5.8S ribosomal RNA, internal transcribed spacer 2, and large subunit ribosomal RNA
Rfam family: 5.8S ribosomal RNA (bases 1-120)
Source: RNAcentral
GAUGAAGAACGCAGUGAAAUGCGAUAAGUAAUGUGAAUUGCAGAAUUCAGUGAAUCAUCGAAUCUUUGAACGCACAUUGCGCCCCCUGGUAUUCCGGGGGGCAUGCCUGUUCGAGCGUCAUUUCACCACUCAAGCCUCGCUUGGUAUUGGGCAACGCGGUCCGCCGCGUGCCUCAAAUCGACUGGCUGGGUCUUCUGUCCCCUAAGCGUUGUGGAAACUAUUCGCUAAAGGGUGUUCGGGAGGCUACGCCGUAAAACAACCCCAUUUCUAAGGUUGACCUCGGAUCAGGUAGGGAUACCCGCUGAACUUAAGCAUAUCAAUAAGCGGAGGA